GGGGAUGUGGCUCAGCUGUGAAGCACCUGCCUAAUAUGUGAGAGGCCUUGGGUUCAAUCCCCAGCACCACCA
RNAcentral lists this transfer RNA (72 nucleotides) under Urocitellus parryii (Arctic ground squirrel). Its description in RNAcentral is "Spermophilus parryii (Arctic ground squirrel) tRNA". It matches the Rfam family "tRNA". From Rfam's summary of the family: Transfer RNA (tRNA) molecules are approximately 80 nucleotides in length. Their secondary structure includes four short double-helical elements and three loops (D, anti-codon, and T loops). Further hydrogen bonds mediate the characteristic L-shaped molecular structure. tRNAs have two regions of fundamental functional importance: the anti-codon, which is responsible for specific mRNA codon recognition, and the 3' end, to which the tRNAs corresponding amino acid is attached (by aminoacyl-tRNA synthetases). tRNAs cope with the degeneracy of the genetic code in two manners: having more than one tRNA (with a specific anti-codon) for a particular amino acid; and 'wobble' base-pairing, i.e. permitting non-standard base-pairing at the 3rd anti-codon position. Lineage: Eukaryota; Metazoa; Chordata; Mammalia; Rodentia; Sciuridae. The record is from Rfam by way of RNAcentral. RNAcentral also lists the same sequence under 1 other name.